This 253-nucleotide ribosomal RNA is filed under the name uncultured bacterium. RNAcentral describes it as "partial 16S ribosomal RNA". It matches the Rfam family "Bacterial small subunit ribosomal RNA", at positions 524 to 776 of the family's 1533-position model. The record is from RNAcentral.
UACGGAGGGUGCAAGCGUUAUCCGGAUUCACUGGGUUUAAAGGGUGCGUAGGUGGGUAAGUAAGUCGGUGGUGAAAUCUCCGGGCUUAACCCGGAAACUGCCAUUGAUACUAUUUGUCUUGAAUACUGUGGAGGUCAGCGGAAUAUGUCAUGUAGCGGUGAAAUGCUUAGAUAUGACAUAGAACACCAAUUGCGAAGGCAGCUGGCUACACAAAUAUUGACACUGAGGCACGAAAGCGUGGGGAUCAAACAGG